Molecule: long non-coding RNA, 4546 nt
Organism: Canis lupus familiaris (dog)
Lineage: Eukaryota; Metazoa; Chordata; Mammalia; Carnivora; Canidae
Exons: 2
Source: RefSeq, a predicted model, not a curated record
CACCCCGGUCUCCAUGGGGCGGAAGCCCAGUAAGGGAGGCAGAAGCAGGCCCAGGGCCACAGUCAUGGGGUCGGGGCAUCUUCCCCACUCUGAGGAACUGUGGGUGCCCAUUUCAAAUUUGCUUCUCCCUGAGACUGCAGGCUCCAAGGGCAGCCACGGUCCUGUCCACUGCUAUCUCCACAGCACCCAGUACAACGUCUCGGGCACACAUCGGUCAUUAAACAUGUGUUGAAUGAAACAAGCUAUCCCUCAUGGAAGUCCUGCAAAACGGAUCUUAUUCUCUCCAGAGAGACUCAGACAGGUAAUGUGCCAGAAACCACAUAGGUGCUGAGGACUCGAGUUCUGGGCUGUUAGACUCUGAAGAGUUGCUCCUUCCACUGCUCUACAUGUCCUCGGCCAAAGGCAGGCUUCAGAUUUCACAGGCUCCUCUGGGACUCUCAGCUCAUCUCUGACCUUCUUGGGGGGGAGGAGCACCCGUGAAGAACUCCACAGGGGGCAGUGGGGAGGCAGGGGCGUACCCAGGAGUCAUCUCACCUCUAGGAACUCUGAGCCUAUCAUCCGCCAGCUGGUGGGCUGGUUCUUCAUCUGUGGCUUUUCUUCCCUCCUCACCCAACCAUCUGGACCCAGGCAGCAUCCAAAGGGCAGGAGUGUGCAGAGCAGCACAAGUCCAUCCCACCAGACAGCACUCCCCCUGCUACCUCUUCACUGUGCAGUCCAGCCAGCUUCUCUCGGCUCUAAAUCUUUGUUCAGGCUGUCUUGCUGCCUGAUGUACUGCUCCCUUCCUCUUCACUUGGCUAACCCUAACUAGAUCCUCGUGUGGGCCUUGCAGCCAUCUACAGUACCCUGGUCCCCUAAGGAGCCUUCCUGCGAGCGCGCAAGGCUCACACUGUAUUUCCCCCCAGCUGCUGAUGAGGCUGUGACUCUUUAAGGCAGCACCAGCGUCUUAGCUAUUUGAUUGUCCUGGGCCCAGUGCAUGGUCUGGAACAAAGGAAGAGUCUAAAAAAUGUUCCUGCACACACACAAAAAAGUUUCCCUUGAGUCAGAGCCAUCCGGUAACGGAAUGGGCCACCCUGGAAGGCAGUGAGUGAGCUUUCUGCCUCUGGGGGGUGUCACAGGAGGCUGGAUGGUCAUUUCGUAGGGAGGCUACGGAAGGCUUCCUGUCCCGUGCAGGAGGCUGCACUAAGGGAGCUCUGGGACUCCCUAUAAGAAUUAUCUCCAACCAAACUCAGCUGCCUGGGACAUAACGAAGGCUGUAGCCAGACUCCGGGCCCUGCUGAACCCUAGCAACCAGACUGGUUCUAUCCAUUCAUCCUGGCUCCACUAUUAACCUUCUGUUGCUUUGUGAUGAUGAAUUUGUUCAGAUUCCACAUGGCCUAGGCACAUCCUGUUCCCUCUCUGGUCCUCUUCCCUCUCUGGUCCUCAGUUUUCCCAGCUAGAAGAUGGGGGUGAGAGGCUGGGUUGGGUUUUUAUUUAAAGAGAUACUUUCUAUAAAAACUCUAGGAACCUUCUGGUUGGUGUCUCGAGACCGUGUGGCUUGGUAAGGCUAAAACUAUGGAGAAACAGCAGGCUCUUAAAUUAGGCAGGUAACAUCCCAUCCAGUAACUCAAAGGUUAAGCAGUCCCACGAGCCACUGGAGCAGUAAAGGGGUCUAAUCACGAAGGCGGGGGAUAUACAGCCACCGCAGACACACGGGGCUGGAUGCCUGUGGGAUGAGCCUGCCUGGUGUAUGGAAAAGGCCUCAAUCUGAAACCUGGCUCUAGCAUCUCCUGGUUGGGUGGCCUCAGAAAGGGUCCUUGAACGCUCUGAGCCUGCUCUCCAGGCCUCAGCCGAUGAUCCUCUCUACUGCAGAGGCUGUUCUCGUAUGACAAGCACCGAGGGUCAGGCCCAAAGCAGGUGUUCAAAGAGGCCACCCCUUGCCUGUAAGGAGCUCUCUCCAACCUCUGUACCCUCUGACUGGCAAAUCCAGCAGAGAACAAGCCUGCCACACGGCCACCCCAAAGCCAGUGACCACCAGGCGAAGCCCUGUUCUAAGGGUAAAGUACCUUCCUAUCCUGGAGAUGGAGGAGAGCCCUGCAGCGCCUACCUGUUCUAGCGACCCAAGCAGGUAGCAAAGGGACAGCCUGGAGUUGCCCUUAGCCCCAGCCCCGUUGCCCUAUAAAGAUGAACCCCAGGGAGAAAAAGGAAGGAGGGUCCUGGACUGCCCUGUCACUCUGAAAUCUGUUCUUAAAAUAAUCUAGGAGGAGUUGUAGGUAACCUUUCAGUCAAUGGUGCAAAAUCCCCUCAAAGUAGAAGAUAACCCAUUUCUUUCAGAGCAGCAAUUGCACUUCUCACUGCUAGACCUUUUCUUGCCAUCCAAGUCGAGGAGGGAUGGGGCACAGGGUUUUGGCCCCACCCCGCCACUCACUGAGGCAGCCAGCAGCUCGUGGGCCUCCUGGGCCUCACCUGUGCAACGGGGACACACACACCCGACCUGACAGGUGUCUCUCACCCAUCCUCUUGCACCCUCCCUCACCGCCCACUCUGUGAGUGCUCCUGCUUAUUGGUGACAACGGACUGAGGCUGCAGGAUAUGGCAAGGGGUUCUGAGAUGGACAGGCCCGGGAGGAGCGCCCCGGCAAAGAGGAGAUAAGCCACGAAGAGUGAGGUCUGAAGGACUGAGGGGAGCAAAAGGAGUGGCUGAGGCUGCGGACGGAAGGCCUGAAUGCCGCCCAGGACAGUGGGUGGAGGGAGAAUUCUAUCAACUACCGACCAGUGAACCUGAGAUCGAGUCCAGGCGAGGUUGUAAAAUGGACGAGGUAAGAAUGAUUUCCAAGGACUUACCAAGGGAAGCAGCAGUGUCCAGGAGACGGUAGGGGUUGACCAAAGAUUAAGACACGCCAAGACAACCACACCUGAGUUCUGCUGCAGGACAACGAGUCUACGAUACACCAAGCAUCGUACAAACGUUAUCGCACGUGCAAGCUCAAAUGAUCCCACGUCAUUUAUGCCGAACCCACUGUGCACUUACUAUGUGCGGCCCCUGGACAGCGCUCGUCACACCCAUUUGCUCAUUUCCUCCUCAUAAGAAUUGUAAUGGCUGGUGAUGUCACUGACCCUGCUCUACAGAUGAGGAAACGAAGGCCCAGAAAGCUAAGUAACAAAUGAGACCACGGAAAAGCCAGGGUUCAAAACCCCAGCACUUCUGUCCCGCGCAGGCUGUCAAUCAGCAAGCUGGCUACGUGGCAGGCAUUAAGAUACCCAUCCUCCAGAAGAGAAGACAGAGGCUGAGAAGGGCUCAUUUACUUGAAGUGGCACACGUACUGACCCAGAGAGCCGAGAUUCAAACCCCAGUGACGUCUGUUGCCGAAGCCCGGCGGCCUCCAGCACAGGGGAAAGCCAGCAGGAGGCACUUGGCUGACAUUAGCUGCCUUUUCAAAGGCACCAUCAGAAACCUGUGCUUCAAGAAUCCGGCUCGGACCGCAAAGGAUUUUAAAGAUCAAAGCUGGUAUUUUAACGGACCUUGGACAGAACACAAGGCACGAGCCCAGAGGGGAACAGAGGUGAUAGAAACGCAGCUCUGAGGAGCCAAGACAGAUUUGCAGACCACAACGGCUUUCCCCCUCAAAAAUCUCAACCAGCUUGUGAUCUGGCCAACAGGGAUAUUAGCUCUUCUUUUUGCUUCUCCGAACUCAAAUGGGGAUAAUCACCCUUACCUGGCCUCGCAGUACAGCCGUCGCCAGUGUCUGAUGACAUAAAAAUAUCAAGGUGCUUUGAAACUGUCAAGUGUCACACGCGUGUGAAUUACUGCUCUUGCGCUCAUCGCCCAUGCCUCUUCCUGGUCCGAAUCCAUCAUUUCCACCUACGUUCCCUGACAAAGCACACCCAAAAUCUAAAACCAGUAUGUGGCUCCCUUCUGCAGUUACAGCACUUGCUUUGUCCUGCCUGGAGUGGUGCUGGGUACCGUGUGUGCCCCCACUGGCCUGGGUGCGCACCUCGAAGGCAGCGAUUGUGUCCCCCUCUCUAUAUCCCUCACAGAGUCCUUUCUGGCGUCAGCUGAACUAAAAUCACUUGAAUUGCACCAAAAUGAGCUUCACUGAGAGGCACUUGUGCUAACACUGAGGACAAUAUCUAAGCUUUUGUCCUUGACCUCUGAUACAAGGGACGGGGCCCAGGAGAAACCGAGAGAGACCCCGGAGUCCCCCUUGUACACCCAAGCUCCCCCUGGCAACUGGCUGCCCACGGUGUGCUUCCCGCCAGGCCCUUGGAAUUGCCAGUCGGCCAAGCCCCCAUUAAGCGAACUCUAAGGCUCUGGCUUUAAAAACGGGACCGUCUUGUUUCUAUAUUCCUAGCACCUAACCCAGUCCUGGCACCAAGGAGGCGUAAAUAUUUGCCGAAUGAAUGAAAAUAAUGGACGUAUGCACAAAUGAAUCUGUACUUUAGCAGCUGGAAUAUCCACAUGUCUUCUGAGUCCUCAGCACUUGCUUCCUUGGCGGGAGGGGGGGGGCAAAAGAGGGCACCAAAGGAGAAAGAGCCUGGCAUUUAUUAAACAUAAUGUGCUGGUCACAUGG